This 358-nucleotide unclassified non-coding RNA is filed under the name soil metagenome. Its description in RNAcentral is "partial contains 5.8S ribosomal RNA, internal transcribed spacer 2, and large subunit ribosomal RNA". The stretch from base 5 to 125 matches the Rfam family "5.8S ribosomal RNA", at positions 35 to 154 of the family's 154-position model. The record is from RNAcentral.
GAUAGAUGAAGAACGCAGCGAAAUGCGAUAAGUAAUGCGAAUUGCAGAAUUUCCGUGAGUCAUCGAAUCUUUGAACGCACAUUGCGCCCUUUGGCAUUCCGAAGGGCAUGCCUGUUCGAGCGUCAUUAUCCCCCCUCAAACCUCGGGUUUGGUGUUGGGCCCGCGUUUGUUGGCGACGACCAACUGGCCCCAAAGGCAAUGACGGCUCCCACUGGGACCCUUGGUGCAAUGAGCUUCUUUCGAGAGCACGCAUCGAGUGUUCGGACCCGGUGGGCCGGUCUCCCUUAUUACUUUCUAAGGUUGACCUCGGAUCAGGUAGGAAUACCCGCUGAACUUAAGCAUAUCAAUAAGCGGAGGA